This 111-nucleotide ribosomal RNA is filed under the name Porphyromonas gingivalis. Lineage: Bacteria; Pseudomonadati; Bacteroidota; Bacteroidia; Bacteroidales; Porphyromonadaceae. The record is from RNAcentral.
UCAGGUGGUUAUAACGUUGGGGAUCCACCUCUUCCCAUUCCGAACAGAGAAGUUAAGCCCAACGGUGCCGAUGGUACUGCGUCUCAGUGGGAGAGUAGGACGCCGCCGUUU